UAGCCUAUGAAGAUAUAGAAUUAUAAAGAACACCAUCUUUCGGGACUGAAUGGCGUAAUGCCUUGGUGACACAUUCUGCAAUUCUGAGGCUU
Papaver somniferum (opium poppy) is the source of this 92-nucleotide small nucleolar RNA. RefSeq annotates it as small nucleolar RNA SNORD96 family. NCBI's taxonomy places the organism in Eukaryota, Viridiplantae, Streptophyta, Magnoliopsida, Ranunculales, Papaveraceae. The transcript has a single exon. The record is from RefSeq and is a predicted model, not a curated record.